UGCAAGUUUUACCUACUCAGCCACUUACUUUCCAGGAUCCUUCAUCAUGAAAGCAAUUGUAUGGGGUAAGAGAUUGGAGUUAGUGCAGGAAACAAGAAAAGAUAAAACUAGAGCCUCACCAAGGGAACAGCCCCAGACCAGGUAUAUUGGGGGCAAGAGGAAGGCGUUAAAGAUGAAAUGGAGUUUAAAGACAAACAAGUUUUAGGUGCACAGUGACCAUGCAAUGCUCCAAAGCCAGGUAUACAAGAUGCAUGGCAGUGGUGGUUGGAGAAAAUUGCCAUGGGAUUGGCACAUGGAUUGGCACUGAGCACAGGGAUAUGAAACUUCAUGCUCAUGAUUGCAAUUCAGGAAGCCAAAGGGCAAAGGAAGUAUUGUAUGGGGUUUGUGAUCUAAGUAUUAAGAAACCAAAAUGCAAAUACUAAUAAACAUGGAACCAAAAAGACUUUAUGUAUGGAGCAGUGCAAAGCUGGUAC
Molecule: long non-coding RNA, 473 nt
Filed under: Homo sapiens (human)
Lineage: Eukaryota; Metazoa; Chordata; Mammalia; Primates; Hominidae
Description: HSALNT0045084
Source: RNAcentral